RNAcentral lists this ribosomal RNA (301 nucleotides) under uncultured bacterium. RNAcentral's name for it is "partial 16S ribosomal RNA". It matches the Rfam family "Bacterial small subunit ribosomal RNA", at positions 509 to 808 of the family's 1533-position model. The record is from RNAcentral.
CAGCCGCCGCGGUAAUACAGAGGAUGCAAGCGUUAUCCGGAAUUAUUGGGCGUAAAGGGUACGUAGGUGGCCUUUUAAGCGUAGGGUAUAAGGCAAUGGCUCAACCAUUGUUCGCCCUAUGAACUGGAAGGCUUGAGUGCAGGAGAGGAAAGCGGAAUUCCUAGUGUAGCGGUGGAAUGCAUAGAUAUUAGGAGGAACAUCAGCGGCGAAGGCGGCUUUCUGGACUGCAACUGACACUGAGGUACGAAAGCGUGGGGAGCAAACAGGAUUAGAUACCCCGGUAGUCCCUGUCUCUUAUACA